This 492-nucleotide ribosomal RNA is filed under the name uncultured bacterium. RNAcentral describes it as "partial 16S ribosomal RNA". It matches the Rfam family "Bacterial small subunit ribosomal RNA", at positions 29 to 507 of the family's 1533-position model. The record is from RNAcentral.
AGUGAACGCUGGCGGUAGGCCUAACACAUGCAAGUCGAACGGCAGCACAGUAAGAGCUUGCUCUUACGGGUGGCGAGUGGCGGACGGGUGAGGAAUACAUCGGAAUCUACUUUUUCGUGGGGGAUAACGUAGGGAAACUUACGCUAAUACCGCAUACGACCUACGGGUGAAAGCAGGGGAUCUUCGGACCUUGCGCGAUUGAAUGAGCCGAUGUCGGAUUAGCUAGUUGGCGGGGUAAAGGCCCACCAAGGCGACGAUCCGUAGCUGGUCUGAGAGGAUGGUCAGCCACACUGGAACUGAGACACGGUCCAGAGUCCUAAGGGAGGCAGCAGUGGGGAAUAUUGGACAAUAGGCGCAAGCCUGAUCCAGCCAUACCGCGUGGGUGAAGAAGGCCUUCGGGUUGUAAAGCCCUUUUGUUGGGAAAGAAAAGCAGCAGGUUAAUACCCCGCUGUUCUGACGGUACCCAAAGAAUAAGCACCGGCUAACUUCGUG